UAAUUCAAGCAGGAAUUGACAGAGAAUAAUGUCCGGUUCGGGCUCCAUUAGCAACCUUAACUAAUUAUGCAUAUCUAUUAAUUUGCACAAAAUACAGUAUUACCAUUUAUUCGAACUUUAAUUCCAUGAUAGAAAAUAGGGUGAGAGGUCCUUACUUGAUUCGACACUGAAAACUAUAUUGUUACUGCGCCUAUGGUACCUACACAUGUCCCAAAUAACCCAAAAAUCAGACCCAGGGCCUACUU
This 245-nucleotide long non-coding RNA is filed under the name Carica papaya (papaya). Its description in RNAcentral is "long non-coding RNA (CPAP_LNC003860)". Lineage: Eukaryota; Viridiplantae; Streptophyta; Magnoliopsida; Brassicales; Caricaceae. The record is from RNAcentral.